RNAcentral lists this ribosomal RNA (253 nucleotides) under uncultured bacterium. RNAcentral's name for it is "partial 16S ribosomal RNA". It matches the Rfam family "Bacterial small subunit ribosomal RNA", at positions 524 to 776 of the family's 1533-position model. The record is from RNAcentral.
UACGUAGGGUGCGAGCGUUGUUCGGAAUUACUGGGCGUAAAGGGAGCGUAGGCGGGUUAUCAAGUUGGAGGUGAAAGCCCAGGGCUCAACCUUGGAAUUGCCUUCAAAACUGAUAGCCUAGAGUAUGAUAGAGGUAAGUGGAACUCCGAGUGUAGAGGUGAAAUUCGUAGAUAUUCGGAAGAACACCAGUGGCGAAGGCGACUUACUGGAUCAUGACUGACGCUGAGGCUCGAAAGCGUGGGGAGCAAACAGG